AACGCACCUUGCACUCUUUGGUAUUCCGAAGAGUAUGUCUGUUUGAGUGUCAUGAAACUCUCAACCCCCUUAUUUUGUAAUGAAAUGAGCGUGGGCUUGGAUUAUGGUUGUCUGUCGGCGUAAUUGCCGGCUCAACUGAAAUACACGAGCAACCCUAUUGAAAUAGACGGUUUGACUUGGCGUAAUAAUUAUUUCGCUAAGGACGUCUUCUUCAAAUGUAAGAGGUGCUUCUAAUUCGCUAUUAAAGCAACUUAAGCUUUAGACCUCAAAUCAGUCAGGACUACCCGCUGAACUUAA
RNAcentral lists this unclassified non-coding RNA (297 nucleotides) under uncultured Basidiomycota. RNAcentral describes it as "sequence contains 5.8S rRNA gene, ITS2, 28S rRNA gene". The stretch from base 1 to 52 matches the Rfam family "5.8S ribosomal RNA", at positions 103 to 154 of the family's 154-position model. Lineage: Eukaryota; Fungi; Basidiomycota. The record is from RNAcentral.